AAAAUUGAAUGAUGAACAUAAACUCCUUAGCAGGCAUCAUAAGAAGGACACUGUUACGCUGCAACACUGAGUGGUGAAGCACAUAAGAGAGUCCAGAGUUAUUGGUUUCUGAAGAAUGAUGGGCCACGUUCUGUUCAGAGUGUUCAUUUUCGUCACACUUAUCUCAUUUUAUCUUUAAGCUCUUUUGACUAAUAAAUAAUUCACAAUUAACAUUUUCUGAAGUCUUUUUUUAUUUUUUGGUGAUAUUUAAAUUUGAGACACAACAUUGCUUUUAAAAAGUGUGUUGUUAUACAGGAGGUUCUGAAUAUCCCUUCAGCAAUCCAACAUGAUGAAUAUACAUAAUAGUUCAUUAGGAUUUCUGCAGAUGUCCUAUAGGAAUUGAACACUAAUGCAAAUUAGAUUUCCUGUAGGUUUCCUGCAGGAGUCCUGCAUGUUUCCUGUAGGUUUCCUGCAGGAAGUCCUGCAUGUUUCCUGUAGGUUUCUGUAGGAUUCCUGCAGGAGUCCUACAGGAAAAUGGUCACGAAAAUCCUGUGGGAUCCUGUAGGAAUGUGCAGGUAUGUGGUGUGUAGGUCCUGCAGGAUUUUUCCUGCAGGAUUCCUG
Molecule: long non-coding RNA, 600 nt
Organism: Onychostoma macrolepis
Lineage: Eukaryota; Metazoa; Chordata; Actinopteri; Cypriniformes; Cyprinidae
Exons: 3
Source: RefSeq, a predicted model, not a curated record